Molecule: transfer RNA, 69 nt
Filed under: Lycodes polaris (Canadian eelpout)
Lineage: Eukaryota; Metazoa; Chordata; Actinopteri; Perciformes; Zoarcidae
Also listed under: 7 other names
Description: tRNA-Arg
Rfam family: tRNA
About the family: Transfer RNA (tRNA) molecules are approximately 80 nucleotides in length.
Source: RNAcentral
AGGCAAUUAGUUUAAGGAGAACCUUUGAUUUCGGCUCAAAAACUUGUGGUUAAAGUCCACAAUUACCUA